Molecule: ribosomal RNA, 253 nt
Filed under: uncultured bacterium
Lineage: Bacteria
Description: partial 16S ribosomal RNA
Rfam family: Bacterial small subunit ribosomal RNA
Source: RNAcentral
UACAGAGGUCUCAAGCGUUGUUCGGAUUCAUUGGGCGUAAAGGGUGCGUAGGUGGCGCCGUAAGUCAGGUGUGAAAUUUCGGAGCUUAACUCCGAAACUGCAUUUGAUACUGCGGUGCUUGAGGACUGGAGAGGAGACUGGAAUUUACGGUGUAGCAGUGAAAUGCGUAGAGAUCGUAAGGAAGACCAGUGGCGAAGGCGGGUCUCUGGACAGUUCCUGACGCUGAGGCACGAAGGUCAGGGGAGCAAACGGG